This 520-nucleotide ribosomal RNA is filed under the name uncultured Glomus. Its description in RNAcentral is "SSU rRNA". It matches the Rfam family "Eukaryotic small subunit ribosomal RNA", at positions 569 to 1091 of the family's 1831-position model. Lineage: Eukaryota; Fungi; Glomeromycota; Glomeromycetes; Glomerales; Glomeraceae. The record is from RNAcentral.
AGCAGCCGCGGUAAUUCCAGCUCCAAUAGCGUAUAUUAAAGUUGUUGCAGUUAAAAAGCUCGUAGUUGAAUUUCGGGGUUAGCAAGUUGGUCGUGCCACUGGUAUGUACUGGCUUUGCUGAUUCCUCCUUCUUGUAGAACCGUAAUGCCAUUUAGUUGGUGUUGCGGGGAAACAGGACUGUUACUUUGAAAAAUUAGAGUGUUUAAAGCAGGCUAACGCCUGAAUACAUUAGCAUGGAAUAAUGAAAUAGGACGAGCGAUCCUAUUUUGUUGGUUUCUAGGAUUGACGUAAUGAUUAAUAGGGAUAGUUGGGGGCAUUAGUAUUCAAUUGUCAGAGGUGAAAUUCUUGGAUUUAUUGAAGACUGACUACUGCGAAAGCAUUUGCCAAGGAUGUUUUCAUUAAUCAAGAACGAAAGUUAGGGGAUCGAAGACGAUCAGAUACCGUCGUAGUCUUAACCAUAAACUAUGCCGACUAGGGAUCGGAUGAUGUUAAUUUUUUAAUGACUCAUUCGGCGCCUUAC